RNAcentral lists this ribosomal RNA (440 nucleotides) under uncultured bacterium. RNAcentral describes it as "partial 16S ribosomal RNA". It matches the Rfam family "Bacterial small subunit ribosomal RNA", at positions 338 to 795 of the family's 1533-position model. The record is from RNAcentral.
CCUACGGGAGGCAGCAGUGGGGAAUAUUGCACAAUGGGGGGAACCCUGAUGCAGCGACGCCGCGUGAAGGAAGAAGUAUUUCGGUAUGUAAACCUCUAUCAGCAGGGAAGAAAAUGACGGUACCUGACUAAGAAGCCCCGGCUAACUACGUGCCAGCAGCCGCGGUAAUACGUAGGGGGCAAGCGUUAUCCGGAUUUACUGGGUGUAAAGGGAGCGUAGGCGGCAGUGCAAGUCAGAAGUGAAAGGCCAAGGCCCAACCAUGGGACUGCUUUUGAAACUGUACAGCUAGAGUGCAGGAGAGGUAAGUGGAAUUCCUGGUGUAGCGGUGAAAUGCGUAGAUAUUAGGAGGAACACCAGUGGCGAAGGCGGCUUACUGGACUGUAAAUGACGCUGAGGCUCGAAAGCGUGGGGAGCAAACAGGAUUAGAUACCCGAGUAGUC